GGGUCAGUAGGUUGGUCGUGCCACCGGUACGUACUGGUCUCACUGAUUCCUCCUUCCUGAAGAACCGUAAUGCCAUUAAUUUGGUGUUGCGGGGAAACAGGACUGUUACUUUGAAAAAAUUAGAGCGUUCAAAGCAAGCUAACGCUUGAAUACAUUAGCAUGGAAUAAUGAAAUAGGACGAUCGAUCCUAUUUUGUUGGUUUCUAGGAUUGACGUA
This 216-nucleotide ribosomal RNA is filed under the name Glomeromycotina sp. RNAcentral's name for it is "partial small subunit ribosomal RNA". The stretch from base 44 to 216 matches the Rfam family "Eukaryotic small subunit ribosomal RNA", at positions 690 to 864 of the family's 1831-position model. The record is from RNAcentral. Lineage: Eukaryota; Fungi; Glomeromycota.